Molecule: ribosomal RNA, 429 nt
Filed under: Bacteroidota bacterium
Lineage: Bacteria; Pseudomonadati; Bacteroidota
Description: Bacteroidetes bacterium partial 16S ribosomal RNA
Rfam family: Bacterial small subunit ribosomal RNA
Source: RNAcentral
UAGGGAAUCUUCGGCAAUGGUGGGAACCCUGACCGAGCAACGCCGCGUGAGUGAAGAAGGUUUUCGGAUCGUAAAGCUCUGUUGUUAAGGAAGAACGAGUGUGAGAAUGGAAAGUUCAUACUGUGACGGUACUUAACCAGAAAGGGACGGCUAACUACGUGCCAGCAGCCGCGGUAAUACGUAGGUCCCGAGCGUUGUCCGGAUUUAUUGGGCGUAAAGCGAGCGCAGGCGGUUAGAUAAGUCUGAAGUUAAAGGCAGUGGCUCAACCAUUGUAGGCUUUGGAAACUGUUUAACUGGAGUGCAGAGGGGGAGAGUGGAAUUCCAUGUGUAGCGGUGAAAUGCGUAGUUAUAUGGAGGAACACCGGUGGCGAAAGCGGCUCUCUGGUCUGUAACUGACGCUGAGGCUCGAAAGCGUGGGGAGCGAACAGG